AUCUCAAAUCAAGUAAAACUACCGGCUGAACUUAAGCAUAUCAAAAGGCGGGAAGAAA
Molecule: ribosomal RNA, 58 nt
Filed under: Linnemannia gamsii
Lineage: Eukaryota; Fungi; Mortierellomycota; Mortierellomycetes; Mortierellales; Mortierellaceae
Description: Mortierella gamsii partial 28S ribosomal RNA
Source: RNAcentral